This 233-nucleotide ribosomal RNA is filed under the name uncultured bacterium. RNAcentral describes it as "partial 16S ribosomal RNA". It matches the Rfam family "Bacterial small subunit ribosomal RNA", at positions 103 to 334 of the family's 1533-position model. The record is from RNAcentral.
CGGGUGAGUAACACGUAUCCAACCUGCCGUCUACUCAUGGCCAGCCUUCUGAAAGGAAGAUUAAUCCAGGAUGGCAUCAUGAGUUCACAUGUCCGCAUGAUUAAAGGUAUUUUCCGGUAGACGAUGGGGAUGCGUUCCAUUAGAUAGUAGGCGGGGUAACGGCCCACCUAGUCAACGAUGGAUAGGGGUUCUGAGAGGAAGGUCCCCCACAUUGGAACUGAGACACGGUCCAA